GACGAACGCUGGCGGCGUGCCUAAUACAUGCAAGUCGAACGAGAGCGACCGGUGCUUGCACUGGUCAAUCUAGUGGCGCACGGGUGAGUAACACGUGGGUAACCUGCCCAUCAGAGGGGGAUAACAUCCGGAAACGGAUGCUAAAACCGCAUAGGUCUUCGAGCCGCAUGGCUUGAAGAGGAAAAGAGGCGCAAGCUUCUGCUGAUGGAUGGACCCGCGGUGCAUUAGCUAGUUGGUGAGGUAACGGCUCACCAAGGCGGUGAUGCAUAGCCGACCUGAGAGGGUGAUCGGCCACAUUGGGACUGAGACACGGCCCAAACUCCUACGGGAGGCAGCAGUAGGGAAUCUGCCGCAAUGGACGCAAGUCUGACGGAGCAACGCCGCGUGAGUGAAGAAGGUUUUCGGAUCGUAAAACUCUGUUGUUAGAGAAGAACAAGUGCUAGAGUAACUGUUAGCGCCUUGACGGUAUCUAACCAGAAAGCCACGGCUAACUACGUG
RNAcentral lists this ribosomal RNA (498 nucleotides) under uncultured bacterium. RNAcentral's name for it is "partial 16S ribosomal RNA". It matches the Rfam family "Bacterial small subunit ribosomal RNA", at positions 28 to 507 of the family's 1533-position model. The record is from RNAcentral.